UCACUUAAGGCGAGUUUGCCGCGAAUCAUGUCUCAAGUCUCUGGGAACUUCUGCGCAUUUGUGAAAACGACCGGGACCGGCUCCGCCGGCGAGGAGCGCGCCUGUGUCCUGCAGGAGGCGUGUUCCGGGACGGAGGGGCACGAACACGUAACGGCGGGGGCGGGGAGGGGUAACUGGCGGGAAGACGCGGAGGGAGGGCGCAUCUGGGGCGUGUGCGCCCCAAUCCGAAGGCACCCGUGGUCUGGGUGCCCAGCGCGCAGAGCCUGGGCCGGGCCCGGGGUGCGGGAGAGAGCGCGAGUGUGAUUCAGGAAGUUGAGUCUCUGACAUCAGGGGCAGGACGGAGUUGGAGUGAAACCUCAAAAAUGCGAGGCGGCGGCCAGCGGGAGGGCAGGGAACACAGAGGGCGCCACUCUCCCGACGGGCGGCAGGUAGGCGCGGCGCGGGGCGGCCCCCGCUGACCCCGCCACCCCAGAGUCGGCUCCGCGUGGGCCGGCGUGGCCUUCGGGAAGGAAACGCGGACCUCGCCUCCAGUCCUGAUCGCUGUCAGACGGGAGCCCCGGGGAUCCCUGGGCGACCCGCCUGCAGGAAGCUCGCCGGUGGACUGAAAGAUUUUUCCCCAUUUUGGAGAUGAAGAAACUGAGGACCAAAACAACCGAAUGACCUUCCCAAGGACGCACACUUAGUAAGUCACAGGUGCCAUCAGUGGCGUGCCCAAACCCUAAUCUGGAAGAGGAAUAAAUUGCAAGUGGGCAAGGCUGCAUCCUUUUGAGUCCAGAACUUGCUAGUGAGCUGAAAGGUUCCUCUGGCCCCAAUCUAGCCAAGCAAC
Equus quagga is the source of this 826-nucleotide long non-coding RNA. RefSeq lists it as uncharacterized. NCBI's taxonomy places the organism in Eukaryota, Metazoa, Chordata, Mammalia, Perissodactyla, Equidae. The transcript is spliced from 3 exons. The record is from RefSeq and is a predicted model, not a curated record.